CCAGCUAGAUGCAAAUGACAUUUUCUCAUUUCAUUAUCUAAGCUAGCUAAUAAUUUCCUGGAGAUUUUAGAUGGGCAACAGUCGAGUCAUGAUCUUUCUUAAGCUUAUGGAGGUAAGGAGCAGUUACAUUGGGACUGCAUGAAAACAAGCAACAAUAUUUGUUUUGCAGUCUUCCUGAUCUGAAUUUGUGAAAUUGAGUUCUUGACUUGGAUGAAGCACUGCAGAAGGGACUUUGAAAGCACUCUGACAAAGAGAUGGAGAGCUGGAGUCUGUUCCCACAAAAUCAGCAAUAAAACUGACUUCAAUAAGCACAAGGUGAGGUGGGGAAUGACUCGAUGCAGUGGCACCCCGCUGGUUGCAGUGACCUGUUUCAGUGGGCUUGAAAGCCAAUUUUCGAGGAAGACAGACUCCAUCCUGCUUUGCCAUCAAACUGAGGUCACACAGAGCCUAUGCAGGCUACAGGAUCAGACACUGAGAACAUCUAAAUUUUUUUGUAGGCUGAUCACAUUUUUCAAGUGCAAACAUUGAGGCACUUCGAAAAUGAAUUGCAUAUAAGCAAUUUAAAUAAAUUAAGAUCUGUAGCUUACUGGUAUCUCACUAUUUUUUAAUGUAAUUGAUAGCAUAUCAAAUGGAUUGCUCUUCUAAGAUAGGUGAAUUAUCAGAGAGAUGGCUGUUAUCUACUACAAAUACUUUUUUUGUUAUGAGCUAGGUUUAUGAAGGUCAGCCAUGCUGUGAUGUGAGUGACUGUUGAAAAUAUUAGAGAUUUCUAACCUGUACUGUUCCUGCUAUUAUUAUAAGAAUUCUAUAAACUGUAAUAAAUUGUAAUGCAUACUCAACCUUUCACUUAGUUUUGAUGGUGUGUCCCCUCCACUGAUACAGCAACUGGAACAUGUGGCAAACCAGAAAAGUGAAUUUUUUCUGUUCAUUGAAGAUAUAGGGUGAAAUGACUGAGAGGUUAAAUCCCAGUUUGAGUUACAAGUCAAGUGAUACAACGAAAAAUUUCACUUUGAUGAGUCAGAUCUAAGAAUGUUGCUGUAACGAAGGAUAAUUAUGAUGACAGAAAUUAAGGACAGAAUUACGAUAAUUGAAAACUCUGUUGUGGCAGAUAUUAAAAGACCCUGGAGUUCUGGGGCUGUUAAACAUUACCAUUAAAAUCCUGGUAAUUAGAAAUACUUAACAAAGGAUGGGUGAACAUUUAGCAAAACAAAAGCUUAACUAUUAGUUUCUGAUAAUCCUGUUAAAUUGCACACUGUAUUUAUUACAUGUUUGAGUCUUCUGUGACUGAGACUGUUUGAUGGCAUAGGUGGUUUCCAGCAUCUAAACCUUCCAUCUUAAAUCUCUGGAAAUAGAUUUAGCUACAAAAAAAAACCAAACAAAAGGAGAGAGAAGAAAAUACCAGGAAAGCUCUUGUGCUUCAGCCCAUUGCUCUAAUCAAGCACAGACACGAUAAGAUAUAUGAAGGUCUAAUUCCCAUGAAAGUUUGCUUGUGACCCUGUUCUUUGCACUGUAUGACUGAAAUGUCUCAGUUCCUGCACAGCUGCCUAAAGUUCAUUUCAGGCUGAUCUCGUGGCUGUAUAAUGUGCAUUAUUCCACUCUCUUUUGUGCAUUAUUUGGGUGCUUUUUCUCUAAAAGAACUGCUUAUAUUUUCUAUUUUGAGAGAUCUUCUUAGUUUACCUAUCCUUGGGUUACAGAAAAAGCUGCUUCUGAUCACCUGUGUAGAGAUCAAGUGCAGGAAAAGGUCAUCCAAAAGACCAAGGACAUGUAAGAUUCAAAGCUCCCAUCCAAAGGCAGAAACACCACCAAACUUUUGAUGUGGUUUACUACUCCUUUGUGGGAUCCUACUUCAUGACAGCCCAAGAGCCAGGAGAUGAGAUGGUGUUUGCAGGUAUGGCCAGAAGAAAGAAAAGGACACAAUAUAGGUUGCAGAAAAGAGAUGGAAGAGAUUCAGCAAAUAUAAUGAAAUAUCUGCUUAGAAGGGGCAGAAACAAAGAAAAAUUAAAUGUUACAAGAGCUGAAAAAGAAAGGGACAGCUUUUUGCUGGUAAAGAGCAUGAGUAAUUAGGUUAUCCUACAUAAUCUGUGGAGAAGACUGGAAAUUCCAGAAGGAGAUAAUGACACUACCAGAUCAUGGCUGGAAUGCAGCUUGUAGGAAAUUGAAAUUUCUGGAAAAGAGAUCUUUCAAAGAAAUAUUUCUUCCUGCUU
Long non-coding RNA from Chiroxiphia lanceolata (lance-tailed manakin), 2201 nucleotides. RefSeq lists it as uncharacterized. NCBI's taxonomy places the organism in Eukaryota, Metazoa, Chordata, Aves, Passeriformes, Pipridae. The transcript is spliced from 3 exons. The record is from RefSeq and is a predicted model, not a curated record.